Molecule: long non-coding RNA, 3716 nt
Filed under: Neodiprion pinetum (white pine sawfly)
Lineage: Eukaryota; Metazoa; Arthropoda; Insecta; Hymenoptera; Diprionidae
Description: uncharacterized LOC124215609, transcript variant X2
Source: RNAcentral
CUCUAAGAUGUUCAUCAUGUGCACGAUCUUACUUAUCAUGUGUAUUCUUUUUAGUUCCCCCACCGUAGUCCUUACCCAGGUUUUAACAAUAUUUCAGAACAUCGAAUGCAGGUAUAGUGAGAUAAACACAAAUCAAACUCUUAUUUAACCGUGACGGAAGGUGUCCGGAUUCAUGGAAUACGUUUGAAUCUCUCCCGCUGCUUUCGGUGGUUCAUCAUGGAAGAAAUUAGAAGACUUCCGGCUCCCGAUAAUCCAAUGAAGGUCAACGUUAUGCAGCCAUACGCAAUUUCUUGGUGCGUAAAGUAGUCCUUUGUAGACAUAAUGUCGGAAAACGUGUCGUAUAUGUGACAAGCGGGUGAACACGUAAAACAGAAAAGCCUGAACCAUGAUAUGUACACUUCGACAUCGCAGCCUAUGUCGCCGUCGCGUGCUUCGGACGGCAUCGCAAUACACGUGGUAUCAGUACGUUUUUUACCGCUUCGAUAACCGUCCAUCGCAUCUGGUAAUCGUCGAUCUGCCAAAUUACAAAUUGUUGACAACAAGUAGUUAAUCAGUAGUUUGAUAUAAUUUAAUGUGAAUAUUAUUUCUUUAUAAACGAUUACAGGCUGAUUGUUUGAAAUAUAUUGUUCAAUUUUGUGCCUCCCGGAAUUUCAAUUUGCAAACUCGUUGGGAUAGAAGUAUAAAAAAAAUUAUUGAAGCACUUCAGAACGUUUUGCAGUCAAUACUUACGAACAUUGACGCAAAUUUUAAAAGGCAUGAAAAAAUUUAACCACCGUACGGACACUCGAAAUUUAUAAUUUUUUAUUUACCUUUCACCGGUAAAUUUAAUGACCAGGUACAAAAACCGUUCAUAGAAACCAAAAAAAUGGUAACUUUUGAUAUAACAAAGGAACUUGAUGCAAGUAUCAACUCACAAAAUAAUUUAAUAUGCAACAAACGAACGUUAACUAAAACUUGCAUCUCAAAUCAGAAAAUUUGAAAAUCAUUUGAAGUCCGAAGACGUGGAUAUGUAUUCUAAAUUUAGAAUUACAAUCAUAUUGAAGUUAGUCGAGGAAGAACCGUUAUUUCGCAAUUUUCGAAUUGUCUGAAAUUCACUAAACCGUAAUAAAACAAAACAGACUCAUAUUUGGAAAUCUUAGCUCCUUAAAAAUCAUUGUAAAAUUGGGAAUGUAGUGAUUUUUUUCCCGUUGUUUGGUCAGAGAUGUCUCUGAUUUGGUUACGUUAACGAUACUAACUUCAGCCUCGUGAAUUACAACGGGCUUCUGCAGGCUUCGCUGCUUACUCAUAUAACUGCAGGCUGCCGCUAUUUUCAAAUUUAAGUGAUUCCGAUAAUCAGUCAUUUGACCGAAUUUGCAAAUUAUGUCGAGUUGUUUCAAAAAUAUAUAUGUUGAGAGGCAUAAAUCUGACCGACGACGGCCACAGGGUGCAUUUUAGUCGAACCCAUGAUUACUUAGUUUUGACGACCGUCUGCUAUGUUGAGAAAUGGUUUUUUCUUUUCAUCUUUUGGUGUUUUGACUGUUAUUAAUAAAUUACGAAUCUCUCAUUUCGACCUCAUUUCCAAAAUUGCGCACCUCCAACGCAAUAUAUCAUGAUAUUACUCAUUGGUAUAAUCAUGGGUACGUUACAGAAAAAAAGAAUUCAUCCUGUUGACAAAGUGUGUUUCCUCGAAAAGAGAGGGAUCCUCAAAACUUUUUCACGAAGUUCUAGAGUGUUCUAAAUACUAACCUUAAUAGUGCAAAUGAAGCCAAAGAUUCCGACCAGCUCGUAAUUUGAACCUUUUAAAAACUUACUUUACCUACAACACUUGACAAAACGAUAAAAGUGUCGCACCCAACAGUCCCCGCACGAGUGCCAACUGAUAUACUCGGAGCGGAAGUCCUGUGGGUACCACGUCCUCGUUACGAUUAGUACUCUGGCGCAGAUUCAGGAGAUAUGGCUCCUUCUCACAUCCCGCUCCGAAGGCUCGUAUGGGAGUAAUUAUUUUUCUGCGGCUUCGAAACAAAUCAGGUCUUCAAUUACUGUUAAGGCGCAUUUUGAUGAAGCUAUAUUGCGAAAAAUAUCUUUUUACUAAUCUAACAUUGCCUAAAAAUAUUGUAAAUCGAUCAAAUAACGGCCAUAUGGGGAUGAGCGCUUAUAAUUGAAUCGAAUCGUAUGUGAGCGAAGAGUUUUUACCUAAAAUACAUUUAUUUAUACGUAGCAAUAGUAUUUACUUUUGUGUUGAUAUUAAUUUAUUUCCUAGCGAAAUUACCAAUAUCACUUGUUGCUUAAUUUCUACCGGCUUAGCGUUGGUCUAGUGUUAUGCCACGUGAUAUCCCUAUGGAUUUUUGUGUGGGGUGAAAAUCCAGACGCCAUGUGCAGAAUGCAGAGACCAUAGCGCAUGCGCUAUGGCUUUUGCGUUCCGCUUAUGGGUUCCGGAGUUUUAUGUGCUUCGGUCUUAGAAAUGCCUUUGAUUAGCUGUCGCAGAAUUAAUGUGCAUACGUGUACUAUUGAAAUUAAGGCUUUACUGGUGCUAGAAUUCUUUGGGUCGGGAAAAAUCUAUUAGUUCCGCGUCACGGUCCCGAAAAUCUCGGGGUUCAUGAAAGUAUCAGUUUUGUCGAAAUUUUCGGGAUUCCCAGAUCUCCCGAUGAAAGAUGAUGUACUUUUUACUGAAAAUAUUGAUGCUAUUUAGAUACACGAUUCAAUAUAAGUAUUUAGUAUUAAGUAUUUAUCCAAUAUCAUAAAUUUUAGGUAAGUUUGGUCACCCACGGUUCAGGUUUCUGAAAAAAUUCUGUUUUACCGAUCAUUCCGGAUUCGUAAAAAAACCCGAUCCGAUACGAACCCGAACUUUUUUCGAGACUUGGAGAACCCGCACAGCCCUAAUUAAAAUACUGUGACCCUAAAAGCAUCAGAUCUCAACCUAUUGGUUUUUGAUGGAAAAAAUAAAAUAAGUUACAAAGAAAUGAAAUUAUUUUUUUCUUAGGAUUGACAUAACCGAUUUGAUUGAAAAUUUAAUAUGUUAUUGUAAUGAUUACGGUCAAUUUCAUAUUUAAUGGAAUAUUAACAGUCUCCUUAUGAUGCCUACGAAAUGGCGAGACACUUUAAUUAUUGUUUAUUACCUAAUUUUAAAGGUGCCCAGGGCAGAGAUAUGUUGUGCAGGGUAUAGGUUUACUUGUGAGUGAAUAAAAUAAAAAACUCGAAAAUACGAAUAUAUAAUAUAUUUAUUUAAUUUGUAUGAUACUUUUAAUUCGUUUCCAUAUACUUUGUAUAAUUACAUAUAUAAUGAUUAGACUUGUCGUUCCAUAUACUACCUGAGAUGGAAUGUAUAAAAUUAAUUAAAAAUCUUGGAACUCAAAAGAUUCCUCAACAUAACGCAACAUAAAAUCAUCCCUCUCUUGGAUUGUACAUAAAUAUAUACACAUAUAUAUAUAUUUUACUAUAUACGCAUCUCCUGUUCAUUUUGUAUUUCCCCUGUCAUAUGCCAGGGGAGAGAUGUUUUUACAGAAAAUCGUUGAUUGUUUAAACUUGCACAGGACUAUCUGUGAAAACAAAGUGCAACGACGUUCAUCCGUCACGUAUUGCCAACUUUGUCCCGAACUCUUAACACGCUUACACGGUAUUAAUGAGAAAGUUCAUUGUAUUCGAAGUUCAUCGAAUGUUCGAAAUUCAGUGCGCCACAGAGAACACAUUUUGAAACAUAACUGCAGUCAUUCUAAAUAAAAUUAUUCUUCAUUCUUUAC